UGCAAGUCGAACGCGGCCAUCCGGUGCUUGCACUGGUGAAGCCGAGUGGCGAACGGGUGAGUAACACGUGAGAAACCUGCCCUGGAGUGGGGAAUAACUCGAAGAAAUUCGAGCUAAUACCGCAUACCUUCUCUUCACCGCAUGGUGAGUUGAAGAAAGAUUUAUCGCUCUAGGAGGGUCUCGCGGCCUAUCAGCUAGUUGGUGAGGUAAUGGCUCACCAAGGCAUCGACGGGUAGCUGGUCUGAGAGGACGAUCAGCCACACUGGGACUGAGACACGGCCCAGACUCCUACGGGAGGCAGCAGUAGGGAAUCUUGCGCAAUGGGCGAAAGCCUGACGCAGCAAUGCCGCGUGCGGGACGAAGGCCCUAGGGUCGUAAACCGCUUUCAGUAGGGACGAAAAUGACGGUACCUGCAGAAGAAGCUCCGGCCAACUACGUGCCAGCAGCCGCGGUGAUACGUAGGGAGCAAGCGUUGUCCGGAAUUACUGGGCGUAAAGGGCUCGUAGGUGGUUGAGUAAGUCAGAUGUGAAAUCUCAGGGCCCAACCCUGAGCCUGCAUUUGAUACUGCUCUGACUAGAGUCCGGUAGGGGAGUGCGGAACUCCUGGUGUAGCGGUGAAAUGCGCAGAUAUCAGGAAGAACACCGACAGCGAAGGCAGCACUCUGGGCCGGUACUGACACUGAGGAGCGAAAGCAUGGGUAGCAAACAGGAUUAGAUACCCUGGUAGUCCAUGCCGUAAACGUUGGGCACUAGGUGUGGGGAGAACUCAACUCUCUCCGCGCCGUAGCUAACGCAUUAAG
This 799-nucleotide ribosomal RNA is filed under the name uncultured bacterium. RNAcentral describes it as "bacterial SSU rRNA". It matches the Rfam family "Bacterial small subunit ribosomal RNA", at positions 56 to 864 of the family's 1533-position model. The record is from RNAcentral.